GAUGAACGCUGGCGGCGUGCCUAAUACAUGCAAGUCGAGCGAAUGGAUUAAGAGCUUGCUCUUAUGAAGUUAGCGGCGGACGGGUGAGUAACACGUGGGUAACCUGCCCAUAAGACUGGGAUAACUCCGGGAAACCGGGGCUAAUACCGGAUAACAUUUUGAACCGCAUGGUUCGAAAUUGAAAGGCGGCUUCGGCUGGCACUUAUGGAUGGACCCGCGUCGCAUAGCUAGUUGGUGAGGUAACGGCUCACCAAGGCAACGAUGCGUAGCCGACCUGGGAGGGUGAUCGGCCACACUGGGACUGAGACACGGCCCAGACUCCUACGGGAGGCAGCAGUAGGGAAUCUUCCGCAAUGGACGAAAGUCUGACGGAGCAACGCCGCGUGAGUGAUGAAGGCUUUCGGGUCGUAAAACUCUGUUGUUAGGGAAGAACAAGUGCUAGUUGAAUAAGCUGGCACCUUGACGGUACCUAACCAGAAAGCCACGGCUAACUACGUGCCAGCCGCCGCAGUAA
This 514-nucleotide ribosomal RNA is filed under the name uncultured bacterium. RNAcentral describes it as "partial 16S ribosomal RNA". It matches the Rfam family "Bacterial small subunit ribosomal RNA", at positions 28 to 523 of the family's 1533-position model. The record is from RNAcentral.